AAAAUACAACUUCCCAUAUAGCCGUUAUAGGAGCGUGAGAGAAAACUCGGUGUUUUCUGGGAAGCUAUCUGUGAUGGACGACACAGUGUUGAUCCUGUUCCUACCGGCAUUCUGGUGCUGGGAAUAAUUGGGGGAAAGGUCAUUAUACUGAAGGCGCUGAGUUGAUUGAUGUUUUUCUUGAUGUUGUUCAUGAAGAGGCGGAGAAUUGAUGCAAGAUGCUGACUACAAAGGGUGUGGAAGAGGCCGUUGAAGCUGGGAAACAUGCAUGACUCAGCAUCGCUGCGAGAAGGUUCUUGUUGUUGUCUGUCACACCAAUGAUUUUGUGUCAUAUCUAUCAGCAUGGGUUGCCGUGUCUUCCAGUCUCUCCUCGUCUAUCACCAAACCAAACAAGCAGCUGAUAUAACAACCCACUCUACUUCAUCCUGCCAAGUACCAUUUGUUCUCUGUAUGUUCACCCAUGGUAUCAUCUUACGCCAUAGGCUUUGUGUCACAGUGCGUUUGAAGAAUAAGUGGUCUCUUGUUUUAUCAGCAGAUUGGCAGAAUACACAUGUAGGAAGAACAUUUAUGCCGAACUUCUGUAAUCUGUCAUCUGUAGCAAGCCUUAUUUAGUAGAGCCCACCAUAGAGAGAAUUUAUGUUGUGGAUGGAUACUAGGAUGCCCUGUUAGUCACUUCUAAGGUACUACUUAGGUUACAUCAUUUUUAUCAAGAACUUGUUAACUGUAAUCUGUUUCUCAGAUCACCUAGGAUUGUAGGAGGAGCAUCAUAGGUGCAGGCCCAAGAAGUCAUAUUGCAAAUAAAAUGGCUAAUAUGAUUCCUUGAACCUCAAACAACCAUUAUGCCUUUCUGAGUAACAAACAAAAGUAGAUCGGGAAGCAGCAAAAACCUUCAACCUUAUGGUUUUAUGAAGUUCUUUCAUCAACGGCAAAGACAACGGCAAAGUCUUUGCUGCCUGAGAAACUAUCCAAACCCCAUUUUAAAUAUGCCUCAAUUUUUACUGUUCAUAUGCAAAAGCUGCAAUCUUUUUCACUCUAGGGUGCAAAGUGGAAGCUUUAAUAUAAGGUUCACUGUAGAUUUAUUCUUAUGUUAUUAGAUAUAAAACAUAUUUUUUUCUUUUU
Molecule: long non-coding RNA, 1116 nt
Organism: Solanum lycopersicum (tomato)
Lineage: Eukaryota; Viridiplantae; Streptophyta; Magnoliopsida; Solanales; Solanaceae
Source: RefSeq, a predicted model, not a curated record